CGAAACACACAAAACAAACACCCCCCUGCCACGCCCUGACCAAACUACAAUAACAAAUAACCCCUUUUACUGGUCAGGACGUGACAGUUAUGCCUACCCCUCUCUAUAAUCAGUGAUGUUAUGCAUACUCCUCUCUAUAAUCUGUCCAGUGAUGUUAUGUCUACCCCUCUCUAUAAUCAGUGAUGUUAUGCAUACUCCUCUCUAUAAUCUGUCCAGUGAUGUUAUGCCUACCCCUCUCUAUAAUCUGUGAUGUUGGGCCUACCCCUCUCUAUAAUCUGUCCAGUGAUGUUAGGCGUUCCCCUCUCUCUAAUCAGUGAUGUUAGGCCUACCCCUCUCUAUAAUCUGUCCAGUGAUGUUAGGCCUAACCCUCUCUGUAAUCUAUCCAGUGAUUGUAGGCCUACCACUCUCUAUUAUCUGUCCAGUGAUUUUAGGCCUACACCUCUCUAUUAUCUGUCCAGUGAUGUUUGGCCUACCCCUCUCUAUAACAU
Molecule: long non-coding RNA, 488 nt
Filed under: Salmo salar (Atlantic salmon)
Lineage: Eukaryota; Metazoa; Chordata; Actinopteri; Salmoniformes; Salmonidae
Description: lncRNA (ENSSSAG00000095228.1)
Source: RNAcentral